GGAUUAGAUACCCUGGUAGUCCACGCCGUAAACGAUGUCUACUAGCCGUUGGGAUCCUUGAGAUCUUAGUGGCGCAGCUAACGCACUAAGUAGACCGCCUGGGGAGUACGGUCGCAAGAUUAAAACUCAAAUGAAUUGACGGGGGCCCGCACAAGCGGUGGAGCAUGUGGUUUAAUUCGAAGCAACGCGAAGAACCUUACCAGGUCUUGACAUCCUAGAAACUUAGCAGAGAUGCUUUGGUGCCUUCGGGAAUCUAGUGACAGGUGCUGCAUGGCUGUCGUCAGCUCGUGCCG
RNAcentral lists this ribosomal RNA (293 nucleotides) under uncultured bacterium. RNAcentral's name for it is "partial 16S ribosomal RNA". It matches the Rfam family "Bacterial small subunit ribosomal RNA", at positions 775 to 1067 of the family's 1533-position model. The record is from RNAcentral.